RNAcentral lists this ribosomal RNA (494 nucleotides) under uncultured bacterium. Its description in RNAcentral is "partial 16S ribosomal RNA". It matches the Rfam family "Bacterial small subunit ribosomal RNA", at positions 28 to 507 of the family's 1533-position model. The record is from RNAcentral.
GACGAACGCUGGCGGCGUGCUUAACACAUGCAAGUCGAACGGAAAGGCCUGCUUUCCCUUGUGGAUUGCGGGUACUCGAGUGGCGAACGGGUGAGUAACACGUGAGUGAUCUGCCCCCAACUUGGGUAUAAGCCUGGGAAACUGGGUCUAAUUCCCGAUAGGACUGCAGGGUGGUGCCUGUGGUGGAAAACGAUUUUCUAGUGGUUGGGGAUGAGCUCGCGGCCUAUCAGCUUGUUGGUGGGGUAAUGGCCUACCAAGGCGGCGACGGGUAGCCGGACUGAGAGGGUCAACGGGAUCAGUGGCACUGAGAGACGUCCCAAACUGCAUGGAAAGACAGCAGUGGGGAAUAUUGGCAAAAAGGGGCAAGCCAGAAGCAGCGACCGCGGGUGGGGGAUCACGGGCUGCGUGUAGUAAACGUCUUGCGAACGCGAGAAAGACACCUGGUUGGAAGGGUGGUGACGGUAGUAGGAGAAGAAGCACCGGCUAACUACGUG